This is a small nucleolar RNA of Vitis vinifera (wine grape), 87 nucleotides long. It matches the Rfam family "Small nucleolar RNA R16". From Rfam's summary of the family: snoR16 is a member of the C/D class of snoRNA which contain the C (UGAUGA) and D (CUGA) box motifs. Most of the members of the box C/D family function in directing site-specific 2'-O-methylation of substrate RNAs. The record is from Rfam. Lineage: Eukaryota; Viridiplantae; Streptophyta; Magnoliopsida; Vitales; Vitaceae.
AAUGGCAAAUGAUGAGUAUGAAAUCUUAUCCUACACACUGAUCUUGAACUGUGUUGACUACUACUCCGCUUAUUAUCUGAUGCCUUG